Molecule: small RNA, 108 nt
Filed under: Flavobacterium xinjiangense
Lineage: Bacteria; Pseudomonadati; Bacteroidota; Flavobacteriia; Flavobacteriales; Flavobacteriaceae
Description: Flavo-1 RNA
Rfam family: Flavo-1 RNA
Source: RNAcentral
AAUUAGCCCUGAUAGAAGUGGAAAUCCUUUUUCUUGUUAGUUCGAUUUCGCUUGAAAAGCGAGGAGGAGAACAAGAGAAAAAGAUUGAAACGGAUAGCAGGAAUAGCU